Molecule: ribosomal RNA, 217 nt
Filed under: uncultured bacterium
Lineage: Bacteria
Description: partial 16S ribosomal RNA
Rfam family: Bacterial small subunit ribosomal RNA
Source: RNAcentral
UAAUACGAAGGGGGCUAGCGUUGUUCGGAAUCACUGGGCGUAAAGCGCACGUAGGCGGGUUUGUCAGUCAGGGGUGAAAUCCCGGGGCUUAACCUCGGAACUGCCUUUGAUACAGCAAAUCUCGAGCCCGGAAGAGGUGGGUGGAAUUCCUAGUGUAGAGGUGAAAUUCGUAGAUAUUAGGAAGAACACCAGUGGCGAAGGCGGCCCACUGGUCCGG